This 253-nucleotide ribosomal RNA is filed under the name uncultured bacterium. RNAcentral's name for it is "partial 16S ribosomal RNA". It matches the Rfam family "Bacterial small subunit ribosomal RNA", at positions 524 to 776 of the family's 1533-position model. The record is from RNAcentral.
GACGAACCGUGCUAACGUUAUUCGGAAUCACUGGGCUUAAAGGGCGCGUAGGCGGUCUGCCAAGUCAGGGGUGAAAUCCUUCGGCUUAACCGGAGAAGUGCCUUUGAUACUGGCGGACUUGAGGGAGGUAGGGGCAGAUGGAACUGGUGGUGGAGCGGUGAAAUGUGUAGAUAUCACUAGGAACGCCGGUGGCGAAAGCGAUCUGCUGGAUCUAUACUGACGCUGAGGCGCGAAAGCCAGGGGAGCAAACGGG